GGUGGCUCCCACCCUACGUUUGUAUGAUGAACCAAAAAAGUAAACAAAAGGGAAGCAUUACAUGUGUCUUUAGGAGACACAUUUUCACAAGUCAGCAAAAAUCAAGCUGUGGAGGUCAGAUAGACAAACAAAUGCCUGUUCCUACCGCCUCCUCAUCACACAGUGCGGAAUGAAGUGAGUGCGCGAGAUGUGAGCAGACUCUCCCGAUGGAAUGCUUUGCUGGCCCAGUAUCUGUGGAGCAUCUGGGUAAACUAUCCAGGAACAAGUGGACUCAGUGAAUCUGGAACAACAAGCGGUCGAGCAGGAAGCUCUAGAUCUUUGUGUAAAAAGCAGAUUAUAUUAAGAACAUGGACUGAUCAGACA
Molecule: non-coding RNA, 363 nt
Organism: Manis javanica (Malayan pangolin)
Lineage: Eukaryota; Metazoa; Chordata; Mammalia; Pholidota; Manidae
Source: RefSeq, a predicted model, not a curated record